This 21-nucleotide non-coding RNA is filed under the name Arabidopsis thaliana (thale cress). The record is from RNAcentral. Lineage: Eukaryota; Viridiplantae; Streptophyta; Magnoliopsida; Brassicales; Brassicaceae.
UGACUGCAGAUCAAUAGGUCA